This 425-nucleotide ribosomal RNA is filed under the name uncultured bacterium. Its description in RNAcentral is "partial 16S ribosomal RNA". It matches the Rfam family "Bacterial small subunit ribosomal RNA", at positions 354 to 796 of the family's 1533-position model. The record is from RNAcentral.
GUGGGGAAUCUUAGACAAUGGGCGCAAGCCUGAUCUAGCCAUGCCGCGUGAGCGAUGAAGGCCUUAGGGUUGUAAAGCUCUUUCGUGGGGGAAGAUAAUGACUGUACCCCAAGAAGAAGCCCCGGCUAACUCCGUGCCAGCAGCCGCGGUAAUACGGAGGGGACUAGCGUUGUUCGGAAUUACUGGGCGUAAAGCGCACGUAGGCGGACUGGAAAGUCAGGGGUGAAAUCCCGGGGCUUAACCCCGGAACUGCCUUUGAAACUCCCAGUCUUGAGUUCGAGAGAGGUGAGUGGAAUUCCGAGUGUAGAGGUGAAAUUCGUAGAUAUUCGGAGGAACACCAGUGGCGAAGGCGGCUCACUGGCUCGAUACUGACGCUGAGGUGCGAAAGCGUGGGGAGCAAACAGGAUUAGAUACCCGAGUAGUCC